GCUGGGCGUGGUGGUGCAUGCCUGUAAUCCUAGCUACUCGGGAGGCUGAGACAGGAGAAUCGCUUGAACCCAGGAGGAAGAGGUUGCAGUGAGCCAAGAUCAUGCCACUGCACUCCAGCCUGGGCAACAGAGUGAGACUCUGUCUCAA
Molecule: small RNA, 148 nt
Filed under: Pongo abelii (Sumatran orangutan)
Lineage: Eukaryota; Metazoa; Chordata; Mammalia; Primates; Hominidae
Description: Metazoan signal recognition particle RNA (ENSPPYG00000039004.1)
Source: Rfam by way of RNAcentral